ACGGGAGGCAGCAGUGGGGGAUAUUGCACAAUGGAGGAAACUCUGAUGCAGCAACGCCGCGUGAGGGAAGAAGGUUUUCGGAUUGUAAACCUCUGUUUUUAGUGAAGAAAUAAAUGACGGUAGCUAAAGAGGAAGCCACGGCUAACUACGUGCCAGCAGCCGCGGUAAUACAUAGGUGGCAAGCGUUGUCCGGAUUUACUGGGUGUAAAGGGUGCGCAGGCGGGACUGCAAGUCGGAUGUGAAAUACCGGGGCUCAACCCCGGAACUGCAUCCAAAACGGUAGUUCUUGAGUGGAGUAGAGGUAAGCGGAAUUCCGAGUGUAGCGGUGAAAUGCGUAGAUAUUCGGAGGAACACCAGUGGCGAAGGCGGCUUACUGGGCUCUAACUGACGCGGAGGAACGAAAGCAGGGGUAGCAAACAG
Molecule: ribosomal RNA, 420 nt
Filed under: uncultured Ethanoligenens sp.
Lineage: Bacteria; Bacillati; Bacillota; Clostridia; Eubacteriales; Oscillospiraceae
Description: partial 16S ribosomal RNA
Rfam family: Bacterial small subunit ribosomal RNA
Source: RNAcentral